UUGACCUCGGAUCAGGUAGGACUACCCGCUGAACUUAAGCAUAUCAAUAAGCGGAGGAAAAGAAACCAACAGGGAUUGCCUCAGUAACGGCGAGUGAAGCGGCAACAGCUCAGAUUUGGAAUCUGGCCCCCAGGGCCCGAGUUGUAAUCUGGAGAGGAUGCUUCUGGCGCGGCGCCUUCCGAGUUCCCUGGAACGGGACGCCGGAGAGGGUGAGAGCCCCGUACGGUCGGACGCCCAGCCUCUGUGAAGCUCCUUCGACGAGUCGAGUAGUUUGGGAAUGCUGCUCAAAAUGGGAGGUAAAUUUCUUCUAAAGCUAAAUACCGGCCAGAGACCGAUAGCGCACAAGUAGAGUGAUCGAAAGAUGAAAAGCACUUUGAAAAGAGGGUUAAACAGUACGUGAAAUUGUUGAAAGGGAAGCGCCCGUGGCCAGACUUGCGCCCCGCGGACCACCCGGCGUUCUCGCCGGUGCACUCCGCGAGGCGCAGGCCAGCAUCGGUUCUCCCAGGGGGACAAAGGCUGCGGGAACGUAGCUCCUACGGGAGUGUUAUAGCCCGCGGCGCCAUGCCCCUGGGGGGACCGAGGACCGCGCUUCGGCAAGGAUGCUGGCGUAAUGGCCACCGGC
This 622-nucleotide ribosomal RNA is filed under the name Grosmannia trypodendri. RNAcentral's name for it is "eukaryotic LSU rRNA". It matches the Rfam family "Eukaryotic large subunit ribosomal RNA", at positions 1 to 645 of the family's 3401-position model. Lineage: Eukaryota; Fungi; Ascomycota; Sordariomycetes; Ophiostomatales; Ophiostomataceae. The record is from RNAcentral.